Molecule: ribosomal RNA, 228 nt
Filed under: uncultured bacterium
Lineage: Bacteria
Description: partial 16S ribosomal RNA
Rfam family: Bacterial small subunit ribosomal RNA
Source: RNAcentral
CGGGUGAGUAAUACAUCGGAACGUGUCUUCUAGUGGGGGAUAACUGCCCGAAAGGGCAGCUAAUACCGCAUGAGACCUGAGGGUGAAAGCGGGGGAUCGCAAGACCUCGCGCUGGAAGAGCGGCAGAUGUCCGAUUAGCUAGUUGGUGAGGUAAAGGCUCACCAAGGCGACGAUCAGUAGCCGACCUGAGAGGGUGAUCGGCCACAUUGGGACUGAGACACGGCCCAA